AUGAGAGAGCUUGCUCUCUGAUUCAGCGGCGGACGGGUGAGUAAUGCCUAGGAAUCUGCCUGGUAGUGGGGGACAACGUCUCGAAAGGGACGCUAAUACCGCAUACGUCCUACGGGAGAAAGCAGGGGACCUUCGGGCCUUGCGCUAUCAGAUGAGCCUAGGUCGGAUUAGCUAGUUGGUGAGGUAAUGGCUCACCAAGGCGACGAUCCGUAACUGGUCUGAGAGGAUGAUCAGUCACACUGGAACUGAGACACGGUCCAGACUCCUACGGGAGGCAGCAGUGGGGAAUAUUGGACAAUGGGCGAAAGCCUGAUCCAGCCAUGCCGCGUGUGUGAAGAAGGUCUUCGGAUUGUAAAGCACUUUAAGUUGGGAGGAAGGGCAGUAACUUAAUACGUUGCUGUUUUGACGUUACCGACAGAAUAAGCACCGGCUAACUCUGUGCCAGCAGCCGCGGUAAUACAGAGGGUGCAAGCGUUAAUCGGAAUUACUGGGCGUAAAGCGCGCGUAGG
RNAcentral lists this ribosomal RNA (509 nucleotides) under Pseudomonas sp. RNAcentral describes it as "bacterial SSU rRNA". It matches the Rfam family "Bacterial small subunit ribosomal RNA", at positions 70 to 575 of the family's 1533-position model. The record is from RNAcentral. Lineage: Bacteria; Pseudomonadati; Pseudomonadota; Gammaproteobacteria; Pseudomonadales; Pseudomonadaceae.